UACGUAGGUGGCAAGCGUUGUCCGGAUUUACUGGGCGUAAAGAGCGCGCAGGCGGUCGAUUUAGUCGCGUGUGAAAGCCCCCGGCUCAACUGGGGAGGGUCACGCGAUACUGAUCGACUCGAAGGCAGGAGAGGGUAGUGGAAUUCCCGGUGUAGUGGUGAAAUGCGUAGAUAUCGGGAGGAACACCGGUGGCGAAGGCGGCGACCUGGGUCGACACUGACGCUGAGGCGCGAAAGCGUGGGGAGCAAACAGG
This 253-nucleotide ribosomal RNA is filed under the name uncultured bacterium. Its description in RNAcentral is "partial 16S ribosomal RNA". It matches the Rfam family "Bacterial small subunit ribosomal RNA", at positions 524 to 776 of the family's 1533-position model. The record is from RNAcentral.